GGGGGAGAAAAUGGGGAGUUGUCAUGGCGACCGGCCCGCCGAACGCCCCUCUGAGGGGGGAACCGUGGCGGGGAGGCAAAUUUUGAGGUGGAAAAAGGGAAAUCUGGGGAAAUGCUGAGGGGAAAAGCCGGCUGGGUGCAGGCACCGACAUGGCCUUGCUGCGCUGCUCUCUCCUCACCCCCCUCUAAGUCCAAAACAUCUCCCGCAGGGUCGCUGUGGUGGCAUAAAGGGAAAGGUCCAAAGAUGUAACAAGAAGCUUCAGGCAGACCUUGAACGCUCUACCCAGUUGUUACGCCUACUGAACCAGAUUAUCUUCCCGAUUUUCAGACUUUUGAGAUUGAGGUCUGGAAGAGCACCGGGCUGAUGCAAAAGCACAAAACUGGUUGCAAAUUUUGAGGAGGAAUUUAGUCCGGUUGGUGCACGUUAGCUUUUUGGACUACUGAAUGUUCAUUUCUUAUAGUAAGGAAGUUGUUAGGGCUCUGAACUAUCUUUUCUUAUCAUGGUUAACCAUAUUAAGAUUAAAAACUCUUAACAGGAAAGUAACUCAAAGUUUGAAACUACAGUAAGUAGUUCAGAAACUGAAGAAAGAAAUAUCCCCCUGACACAGCAGAAGUACAAAAUGGGAACAAACAAUAUGUACCAUAUUCAGUUACAUCUGGUUUUAAAUAAAUAAUUUAAAAUAUUGAUGUUUGUUUCUUUGCUCAUCUAAUGCAUGCUGGACAUGACAAGGUUUGUAAUUGCAAUAGGAAAAAAAAAGCUAGCUUUAUAACUAGGAGGAUAAAUUAAUGAAAGAUUUUAUGGGGUAGGUAAUAACAUGGAUUGUUAUUCUUUCUAUUUUUUGUAGGCAAGAAAGAGAAAGAUAAGCUCAAACGUAUAGCUAGCCCUUAAUUUGAAUCAUUGGGAAAUUUUUAUUUAUUUGAUGUGUUUCGGUAGUGUUCUCCGUUUUAAUAAGCAUUUAUUUCUGGCUUA
Long non-coding RNA from Oxyura jamaicensis (ruddy duck), 969 nucleotides. RefSeq lists it as uncharacterized. The transcript is spliced from 3 exons. The record is from RefSeq and is a predicted model, not a curated record. NCBI's taxonomy places the organism in Eukaryota, Metazoa, Chordata, Aves, Anseriformes, Anatidae.